Molecule: non-coding RNA, 23 nt
Filed under: Arabidopsis thaliana (thale cress)
Lineage: Eukaryota; Viridiplantae; Streptophyta; Magnoliopsida; Brassicales; Brassicaceae
Source: RNAcentral
GGCUUAGACUGAUUCUGUUGUGG